AUUGAACGCUGGCGGCAUGCUUUACACAUGCAAGUCGGACGGCAGCACAGAGAAGCUUGCUUCUUGGGUGGCGAGUGGCGAACGGGUGAGUAACAUAUCGGAACGUACCGAGCAGUGGGGGAUAACUAGUCGAAAGAUUAGCUAAUACCGCAUAUUUUCUGAGGAAGAAAGCAGGGGACCUUUGGGCCUUGCGCUGUUUGAGCGGCCGAUAUCUGAUUAGCUAGUUGGUGGGGUAAAGGCCUACCAAGGCGACGAUCAGUAGCGGGUCUGAGAGGAUGAUCCGCCACACUGGGACUGAGACACGGCCCAGACUCCUACGGGAGGCAGCAGUGGGGAAUUUUGGACAAUGGGCGCAAGCCUGAUCCAGCCAUGCCGCGUGUCUGAAGAAGGCCUUCGGGUUGUAAAGGACUUUUGUCAGGGAAGAAAAGGGCGGGGUUAAUACCCCUGUCUGAUGACGGUACCUGAAGAAUAAGCACCGGCUAACUACGUG
Molecule: ribosomal RNA, 490 nt
Filed under: uncultured bacterium
Lineage: Bacteria
Description: partial 16S ribosomal RNA
Rfam family: Bacterial small subunit ribosomal RNA
Source: RNAcentral